AGGGUUUGAUCAUGGCUCAGAACGUACGCUGGCGGCACGCCUAACACAUGCAAGUCGAACGAAGUAGCAAUACUUAGUGGCAGACGGGUGAGUAACAUGUGGGUAUCUGCCCUUUGGCCUGGAAUAACACGAGGAAACUUGUGCUAAUACCGGAUAAGUCUUUACGGAGAAAGCUUUAUGCACCAUUGGAUGAGCCUGCACUUGAUUAGUUUGUUGGUGGGGUAAUGGCCUACCAAGACUGUGAUCAAUAGCUGAUUUGAGAGGAUGAUCAGCCACAUUGGGACUGAGACACGGCCCAAACUCCUACGGGAGGCAGCAGUGGGGAAUCUUGCACAAUGGAGGAAACUCUGAUGCAGCGAUGCCGCGUGAGUGAAGAAGGCCUUUGGGUUGUAAAGCUCUUUCGUCGGGGAAGAAAAUGACUGUACCCGAAUAAGAAGGUCCGGCUAACUUCGUGCCAGCAGCCGCGGUAAUACGAAGGGACCUAGCGUAGUUCGGAAUUACUGGGCUUAAAGAGUUCGUAGGUGGUUGAAAAAGUUGGUGGUGAAAUCCCAGAGCUUAACUCUGGAACUGCCAUCAAAACUUUUCAGCUAGAGUAUGAUAGAGGAAAGCAGAAUUUCUAGUGUAGAGGUGAAAUUCGUAGAUAUUAGAAAGAAUACCAAUUGCGAAGGCAGCUUUCUGGAUCAUUACUGACACUGAGGAACGAAAGCAUGGGUAGCGAAGAGGAUUAGAUACCCUCGUAGUCCAUGCCGUAAACGAUGUGUGUUAGACGUUGGAAAUUUAUUUUCAGUGUCGCAGCGAAAGCGAUAAACACACCGCCUGGGGAGUACGACCGCAAGGUUAAAACUCAAAUGAAUUGACGGGGACCCGCACAAGUAGUGGAGCAUGUGGUUUAAUUCGAAGAUACGCGCAGAACCUUACCAACACUUGACAUGUUCGUCGCGACUUUAAGAGAUUAAAGUUUUCGGUUCGGCCGGACGAAACACAGGUGCUGCAUGGCUGUCGUCAGCUCGUGUCGUGAGAUGUUGGGUUAAGUCCCGCAACGAGCGCAACCCUCACUUUUAGUUGCCAUCAUUAAGUUGGGCACUCUGAAAGAACUGCCAGUGAUAAGCUGGAGGAAGGUGGGGAUGACGUCAAGUCCUCAUGGCCCUUACGUGUUGGGCUACACACGUGCUACAAUGAUAUCUACAACAGGAAGCAAGACUGCGAAGUUAAGCAAAUCCUUAAAAGAUAUCUCAGUUCGGAUUGCACUCUGCAACUCGAGUGCAUGAAGCUGGAAUUACUAGUAAUCGUGGAUCAGCGUGCCACGGUGAAUGCGUUCCCGGGUCUUGUACACACCGCCCGUCACACCAUGGGAGUUGGUUCUACCUUAAGGCAAGGUUUAAAACCCUUGACCACGGUAUAGUCAGCGACUGGGGUGAAGUCAUAACAAGGUAACCGUA
RNAcentral lists this ribosomal RNA (1439 nucleotides) under uncultured bacterium. RNAcentral's name for it is "bacterial SSU rRNA". It matches the Rfam family "Bacterial small subunit ribosomal RNA". The record is from RNAcentral.